UGGGGAAUUUUGCACAAUGGGGGAAACCCUGAUGCAGCGACGCCGCGUGAUUUAGAAGGCCUUCGGGUUGUAAAAAUCUUUUCUAUGGGAAGAAAAUGACAGUACCAUAGGAAUAAGGACCGGCUAAUUACGUGCCAGCAGCCGCGGUAAUACGUAAGGUCCGAGCGUUGUCCGGAAUCAUUGGGCGUAAAGGGUACGUAGGCGGGUAAGCAAGUUAGAAGUGAAAUCCUGUAGCUCAACUACAGUAAGCUUUUAAAACUGCUCAUCUUGAGAUAUGGAAGGGAAAGUGGAAUUCCUAGUGUAGCGGUGAAAUGCGCAGAUAUUAGGAGGAAUACCGGUGGCGAAGGCGGCCUUCUGGGCCACGACUGACGCUGAGGCGCGAAAGCUAGGGGAGCGAACAGG
Molecule: ribosomal RNA, 402 nt
Filed under: Verrucomicrobiota bacterium
Lineage: Bacteria; Pseudomonadati; Verrucomicrobiota
Description: Verrucomicrobia bacterium partial 16S ribosomal RNA
Rfam family: Bacterial small subunit ribosomal RNA
Source: RNAcentral